GGCGAACGGGUGCGUAACACGUGAGAAACCUGCCCCGGUCUCUGGGAUAACAGUUGGAAACGACUGCUAAUACCGGAUGCCGUCGAACCGUCGCAUGGCGGAUCGACGAAAGGGUUACCGGAUCGGGAGGGUCUCGCGGCCUAUCAGCUUGUUGGUGAGGUAACGGCUCACCAAGGCAUCGACGGGUAGCUGGUCUGAGAGGAUGAUCAGCCACACUGGGACUGAGACACGGCCCAGACUCCUACGGGAGGCAGCAGUGGGGAAUAUUGCACAAUGGGCGAAAGCCUGAUGCAGCAACGCCGCGUGCGGGAUGAAGGCCCUAGGGUUGUAAACCGCUUUCAGCAGGGAAGAAAAUGACGGUACCUGUAGAAGAAGGUGCGGCCAACUACGUGCCAGCAGCCGCGGUGACACGUAGGCACCAAGCGUUGUCCGGAUUUAUUGGGCGUAAAGAGCUCGUAGGCGGUUCAGUAAGUCGGGUGUGAAAACUCUGGGCUCAACCCAGAGACGCCACCCGAUACUGCUGUGACUAGAGUGCGGUAGGGGAGCGGGGAAUUCCUAGUGUAGCGGUGAAAUGCGCAGAUAUUAGGAGGAACACCAGUGGCGAAGGCGCCGCUCUGGGCCGUAACUGACGCUGAGGAGCGAAAGCGUGGGUAGCAAACAGGAUUAGAUACCCUGGUAGUCCACGCCGUAAACGUUGGGCACUAGGUGUGGGUCUCAACCAACGAGAUCCGCGCCGUCGCUAACGCAUUAAGUGCCCC
RNAcentral lists this ribosomal RNA (758 nucleotides) under uncultured Acidimicrobiaceae bacterium. RNAcentral's name for it is "bacterial SSU rRNA". It matches the Rfam family "Bacterial small subunit ribosomal RNA", at positions 97 to 870 of the family's 1533-position model. Lineage: Bacteria; Bacillati; Actinomycetota; Acidimicrobiia; Acidimicrobiales; Acidimicrobiaceae. The record is from RNAcentral.